UCUCAGAGAUUAAGCCAUGCAUGUCUAAGUACAUACUUUAAAACGGUGAAACCGCGAAUGGCUCAUUAAAUCAGCUAUGGUUCCUUAGAUCGUACCUACUACAUGGAUAACUGUGGUAAUUCUAGAGCUAAUACAUGCCAAUAUGCCCUGACCCGCAAGGGAACGGGUGGUUUUAUUAGAACAGAACCAACUGGUUGUGACUCUGUUGCAGCCGUUGAAUCUGAUGACUCUGGAUAACUUCACUGAUCGCAGUCGGCCAUGUGUCGGCGACGGAUCUUUCAAAUGUCUGCCCUAUCAAUUUUCGAUGGUAGGCGAUCUGCCUACCAUGGUGAUAACGGGUAACGGGGAAUCAGGGUUCGAUUCCGGAGAGGGAGCCUGAGAAACGGCUACCACUUCCAAGGAAGGCAGCAGGCGCGCAAAUUACCCAAUCCCAGCACGGGGAGGUAGUGACGAAAAAUACGAAUACGGGACUCAACAGAGGCUCCGUAAUUCGAAUGAGUACAAUUUAAAUCCUUUAACGAGGAUCUACUGGAGGGCAAGUCUGGUGCCAGCAGCCG
RNAcentral lists this ribosomal RNA (557 nucleotides) under Phyllodistomum staffordi. RNAcentral's name for it is "SSU rRNA". It matches the Rfam family "Eukaryotic small subunit ribosomal RNA", at positions 35 to 576 of the family's 1831-position model. Lineage: Eukaryota; Metazoa; Platyhelminthes; Trematoda; Plagiorchiida; Gorgoderidae. The record is from RNAcentral.